UACGUAGGGGGCGAGCGUUGUCCGGAUUUAUUGGGCGUAAAGAGCGUGUAGGCGGCCAGGUAGGUCUGCUGUGAAAACUCGAGGCUCAACCUCGAGACGUCGGCGGAAACCAUCUGGCUAGAGUCCGGAAGAGGAGAGUGGAAUUCCUGGUGUAGCGGUGAAAUGCGCAGAUAUCAGGAAGAACACCGGUGGCGAAGGCGGCUCUCUGGGACGGUACUGACGCUGAGACGCGAAAGCGUGGGGAGCGAACAGG
Molecule: ribosomal RNA, 253 nt
Filed under: uncultured bacterium
Lineage: Bacteria
Description: partial 16S ribosomal RNA
Rfam family: Bacterial small subunit ribosomal RNA
Source: RNAcentral